RNAcentral lists this ribosomal RNA (520 nucleotides) under uncultured Acaulospora. RNAcentral describes it as "SSU rRNA". It matches the Rfam family "Eukaryotic small subunit ribosomal RNA", at positions 569 to 1085 of the family's 1831-position model. Lineage: Eukaryota; Fungi; Glomeromycota; Glomeromycetes; Diversisporales; Acaulosporaceae. The record is from RNAcentral.
AGCAGCCGCGGUAAUUCCAGCUCCAAUAGCGUAUAUUAAAGUUGUUGCAGUUAAAAAGCUCGUAGUUGAAUUUCGGGGUCUGUCCGUCGGUCGGGCUUUACGGUCCGUACUGGUGUGAUGGGUUCCUACCUUCUGAAUAACCGGCAUGCCAUUCAGUUGGUGCGCCGGGGAAGCAGAGCUAUUACCUUGAAAAAUUAGAGUGCUUAAAGCAGGCUAGUGCUUGAAUAGAUUAGCAUGGAAUAAUAAAAUAGGACGGCAUGGUUCUAUUUUGUUGGUUUCUAGGAUCACCGUAAUGAUUAAUAGGGAUAGUUGGGGGCAUUAGUAUUCAAUUGUCAGAGGUGAAAUUCUUGGAUUUAUUGAAGACUAACUUCUGCGAAAGCAUUUGCCAAGGAUGUUUUCAUUAAUCAAGAACGAAAGUUAGGGGAUCGAAGACGAUCAGAUACCGUCGUAGUCUUAACCAUAAACUAUGCCGACUAGGGAUCGGACGUAUGUUUAAUUUUUUAAUGUACUCAUUCCGGCG